Molecule: long non-coding RNA, 978 nt
Filed under: Fukomys damarensis (Damara mole-rat)
Lineage: Eukaryota; Metazoa; Chordata; Mammalia; Rodentia; Bathyergidae
Description: lncRNA (ENSFDAG00000022190.1)
Source: RNAcentral
CUUUAUUUCACAAUACAAAUUUAAAAGAUUAUUUAAGGUAUAAGUGACUUACUCAAGUAUUCACUGCUAGCUGGUAACAUUGUUAGGUCCUCAAUCCACUUUUUGACUUAAGUAAAAAAAAAAAAACUUAAAGCAAUUUUUAUUGUAACAGGGUCCUAGGGAUUAGACCUGCAGUUGCUUGGAGUAACUAUAAUCAGGGUAAAGCCUUGCAUCUUGCCUGUAUAUUAUACCUUUAUUAUAUUAAAACCUUGGGUCAUAUGAUUGCUUUGCUGUGCACAUAGGCAUGAUAAUCAUUUAAGAAGUGCCUGUCUAAAAAUUACUAAUGCAGGUUUAAUAGACUUAAAUUCACCUAGCUUAUCCCAUACCCUUCAAGACUGAAGACACAAAGAUAAAGAAUAAAGUAACUUUUAAGAUGUGCAGGGACAUCCAGUUGCCAGGGUUUACAGUGUUCAGUUCCAGACACCUUGAAAUGCCUAGUAGUGUUGUCAUUGUCCUAAACCUACAGUUUCAUCAGAUUCCAAGCAGAGCUUCUCAUAGAGCACUUCAUUAUGAGGUCAUCCUUCAAUCAAAAGCAGUUAUUCUGUGACAAAACCAAGACUGGCGUGAACAGGAGCCAGCCUCUCAUGAUGGGGACUGAAUUGCUCCCUCAAGUGAGGAUGGUUCUCCCACAACCUUGUAGAGCCAGUUCUGAGAUACUUAUUGAUCAACCAGACCAUGACUGUUGCAUACAUUUUUUCUCCAGUUACUUCAGAGUAUUUUAUACACAAAAGCAUACAUGAGUGUUAGGACUGGUAACAGAUUGAUCAUACACCAUGAUGCACCCUGUUAUGUGGUCAAGAGUUCAACUCUACCAGAGCUUGUUAAGAUGGAAAGAAUUGGUAAGUAGUACUAGAAGCUGUAGGUUGUAUACAGUAUGCAAUUAAAUAAAAAACUCUGAAGGGUAGAUUAAAAGUCUACAGGAAAAUUACUUGAUAGCAC